This 129-nucleotide microRNA precursor is filed under the name Mus pahari (shrew mouse). Its description in RNAcentral is "miRNA (MGP_PahariEiJ_G0007415.1)". Lineage: Eukaryota; Metazoa; Chordata; Mammalia; Rodentia; Muridae. The record is from RNAcentral.
AUAUGUGUGUACUCAUCAUGUGCAUGUGAGUAUGUGUAUAUGUAUAUGUUUGUACAUGUGCAUGUGUGUGUAUGUGUGAGUAUUUGUAUAUGUGUGUGUAUAUGUGUGCAUGUGUGUGUAUGUGUGUGU